RNAcentral lists this transfer RNA (83 nucleotides) under compost metagenome. RNAcentral's name for it is "tRNA-Ala". The record is from RNAcentral.
GAGGCGCUGGCUGAGGCUUUCCAGCAGGCGCAUGGCCAGCGGCGGAUGCUGCUCGCAGGCACGGUGCAAGGCCGUGCGGCUCA